UACGGAGGAUCCGAGCGUUAUCCGGAUUUAUUGGGUUUAAAGGGUGCGCAGGCGGUCUUUCAAGCCAGAAGUGAAAGGCUACGGCUCAACCGUAGUAAGCUUUUGGAACUGUAAGACUUGAGUGCAGGAGAGGAGAGUGGAAUUCCUAGUGUAGCGGUGAAAUGCGUAGAUAUUAGGAGGAACACCAGUGGCGAAGGCGGCCAACUGGGCUUUUACUGACGCUGAGGCUCGAAAGCGUGGGGAGCAAACAGGAUUAGAUACCCCGUAGUCCCUGAGCGGG
This 280-nucleotide ribosomal RNA is filed under the name uncultured prokaryote. RNAcentral describes it as "partial 16S ribosomal RNA". It matches the Rfam family "Bacterial small subunit ribosomal RNA", at positions 524 to 803 of the family's 1533-position model. The record is from RNAcentral.